RNAcentral lists this ribosomal RNA (253 nucleotides) under uncultured bacterium. RNAcentral describes it as "partial 16S ribosomal RNA". It matches the Rfam family "Bacterial small subunit ribosomal RNA", at positions 524 to 776 of the family's 1533-position model. The record is from RNAcentral.
UACAGAGGGUGCGAGCGUUAAUCGGAAUUACUGGGCGUAAAGCGUGCGUAGACGGUAGCGUAAGUCAGAUGUGAAAGCCCCGAGCUCAACUUGGGAAUUGCAGUGGAUACUGGCAGGCUGGAGUACGGUAGAGGAAGGUGGAAUUCCCGGUGUAGCAGUGAAAUGCGUAGAUAUCGGGAGGAACACCAGUGGCGAAGGCGGCCUUCUGGACCAGUACUGACGCUCAUGCACGAAAGCGUGGGGAGCAAACAGG